CCGAGUUUACAACUCCCAAACCCCUGUGAACAUACCAAUUGUUGCCUCGGCGGAUCAGCCCGCUCCCGGUAAAACGGGACGGCCCGCCAGAGGGCCCCUAAACUCUGUUUCUAUAUGUAACUUCUGAGUAAAACCAUAAAUAAAUCA
This 147-nucleotide unclassified non-coding RNA is filed under the name soil metagenome. RNAcentral describes it as "partial internal transcribed spacer 1". The record is from RNAcentral.